Molecule: ribosomal RNA, 262 nt
Filed under: uncultured bacterium
Lineage: Bacteria
Description: partial 16S ribosomal RNA
Rfam family: Bacterial small subunit ribosomal RNA
Source: RNAcentral
GUCCACGCCGUAAACGAUGUCUACUAGCCGUUGGGAGACUUGAUUUCUUAGUGGCGCAGCUAACGCUUUAAGUAGACCGCCUGGGGAGUACGGCCGCAAGGUUAAAACUCAAAUGAAUUGACGGGGCCCGCACAAGCGGUGGAGCAUGUGGUUUAAUUCGAUGCAACGCGAAGAACCUUACCAGGUCUUGACAUCCAGAGAACUUGGCAGAGAUGCCUUGGUGCCUUCGGGAGCUCUGAGACAGGUGCUGCAUGGCUGUCGU